RNAcentral lists this ribosomal RNA (469 nucleotides) under uncultured bacterium. RNAcentral describes it as "partial 16S ribosomal RNA". It matches the Rfam family "Bacterial small subunit ribosomal RNA", at positions 28 to 507 of the family's 1533-position model. The record is from RNAcentral.
GACGAACGCUGGCGGCGUGCUUAACACAUGCAAGUCGAACGGAAAGGCCCUGCUUGCAGGGUGCUCGAGUGGCGAACGGGUGAGUAACACGUGGGUGAUCUGCCCCUUACUUUGGGAUAAGCCUGGGAAACUGGGUCUAAUACUGGAUAGGACCAUGCUGUAGGUGGUGUGGUGGAAAGAUUAGUUUCGGUAAGGGAUGAGCUCGCGGCCUAUCAGCUUGUUGGUGGGGUAAUGGCCUACCAAGGCGUCGACGGGUAGCCGGCCUGAGAGGGUGGACGGCCACAUUGGGACUGAGAUACGGCCCAGACUCCUACGGGAGGCAGCAGUGGGGAAUAUUGCACAAUGGGCGCAAGCCUGAUGCAGCGACGCCGCGUGGGGGAUGACGGCCUUCGGGUUGUAAACUCCUUUCAGCCAUGACGAAGCCCUUGUGGUGACGGUAGUUGUAGAAGAAGCACCGGCUAACUACGUG